Molecule: unclassified non-coding RNA, 377 nt
Filed under: uncultured Parachlamydiaceae bacterium
Lineage: Bacteria; Pseudomonadati; Chlamydiota; Chlamydiia; Parachlamydiales; Parachlamydiaceae
Description: contains 16S-23S intergenic spacer region
Source: RNAcentral
UCCCGGUUAACCCGGGCAGUCUCAUUAGAGUUCCCACCUUAAAUGUUGGCAACUAAUGAUAAGGGUUGCGCUCGUUGCGGGACUUAACCCAACACCUCACGGCACGAGCUGACGACAGCCAUGCAGCACCUGUGCAGCAGUCCCGAAGGAAGAUUCUAUUUCUAGAACUGUCUACUGCAUGUCAAGUCUGGGUAAGGUUCUUCGCGUUGCAUCGAAUUAAACCACAUGCUCCACUGCUUGUGCGGGUCCCCGUCAAUUCUUUUGAGUUUCACCCUUGCGAGCGUACUCCUCAGGCGGUAUACUUAUCGCGUUAGCUACGACACAACCAGGUUUGAGUCCGGUUACAUCAAGUAUACAUCGUUUACGGCAAGGACUAC